AGAGUUUGAUCCUGGCUCAGGAUGAACGCUAGCGGCAGGCUUAACACAUGCAAGUCGAGGGGUAGUUGUCUUCGGAUAAUGAGACCGGCGCACGGGUGCGUAACGCGUAUACAAUUUACCUUUUACAGAGGGAUAGCCCAGAGAAAUUUGGAUUAAUACCUCAUAGUAUUUUUGAAUCGCAUGAUUUGAUUAUUAAAGUUCCAACGGUAAAAGAUGAGUAUGCGUCCCAUUAGCUAGAUGGUAAGGUAACGGCUUACCAUGGCAACGAUGGGUAGGGGUCCUGAGAGGGAGAUCCCCCACACUGGUACUGAGACACGGACCAGACUCCUACGGGAGGCAGCAGUGAGGAAUAUUGGACAAUGGGCGCAAGCCUGAUCCAGCCAUGCCGCGUGCAGGAAGAAGGUCCUAUGGAUUGUAAACUGCUUUUAUACAGGAAGAAACAUCUCUACGUGUAGAGACUGACGGUACUGUAGAAUA
This 477-nucleotide ribosomal RNA is filed under the name uncultured Flavobacterium sp. RNAcentral's name for it is "bacterial SSU rRNA". It matches the Rfam family "Bacterial small subunit ribosomal RNA", at positions 8 to 487 of the family's 1533-position model. Lineage: Bacteria; Pseudomonadati; Bacteroidota; Flavobacteriia; Flavobacteriales; Flavobacteriaceae. The record is from RNAcentral.